GGUGGCUCAGCGGUAGAGCACUUGCCUUGCAUGCAUGAGACCCUGGGUUCGAUUCCUCAGCACCA
RNAcentral lists this transfer RNA (65 nucleotides) under Dipodomys ordii (Ord's kangaroo rat). It matches the Rfam family "tRNA". From Rfam's summary of the family: Transfer RNA (tRNA) molecules are approximately 80 nucleotides in length. Their secondary structure includes four short double-helical elements and three loops (D, anti-codon, and T loops). Lineage: Eukaryota; Metazoa; Chordata; Mammalia; Rodentia; Heteromyidae. The record is from Rfam by way of RNAcentral.